AUACGUAGGGCGCAAGCGUUAUCCGGAAUUAUUGGGCGUAAAGAGCUCGUAGGCGGCUUGUCGCGUCUGCUGUGAAAAUGCGGGGCUUAACUCCGCACGUGCAGUGGGUACGGGCAGGCUAGAGUGCGGUAGGGGUGACUGGAAUUCCUGGUGUAGCGGUGGAAUGCGCAGAUAUCAGGAGGAACACCGAUGGCGAAGGCAGGUCACUGGGCCGUUACUGACGCUGAGGAGCGAAAGCAUGGGGAGCGAACAGGAUUAGAUACCCUGGUAGUCCAUGCCGUAAACGUUGGGCACUAGGUGUGGGGUCUGUUUCCAUGGAUUCUGCGCCGUAGCUAACGCAUUAAGUGCCCCGCCUGGGGAGUACGGCCGCAAGGCUAAA
This 379-nucleotide ribosomal RNA is filed under the name uncultured bacterium. Its description in RNAcentral is "bacterial SSU rRNA". It matches the Rfam family "Bacterial small subunit ribosomal RNA", at positions 523 to 898 of the family's 1533-position model. The record is from RNAcentral.